ACGUGAUACUGUCACUUUUUCCACUACACUCGUGCCAAAAGACAACAAGCCUUUACCUGUUUGUCAUUGGUCAACAGUAAAUUCCCCCCUUUAGUAUGAGAACUUUUGAUUGGCCAGCUCCAAUAAACCGCUUUCCCAUAGGCUAAGCAUGACGCGGGCCCUUAAAACGUGAAACAUAGCUAAAUCCCGGUGUAAAGUAGCUAACCUCUGUCCAAGUGCUCCGAACACAGUCGGUAUGUCUGCGACUGAUAUGUCCGGUGUGCUGGAUAUCCUUCGGUUAUUGUACCGGCACACGCAGACACUGGAGGAGUUUUCGGACAGCAUCGUGUUCAGAGAGGGACAGAAAGCAGCUCUCAUUGAGCAGACAGAUACAAACCGUUUCAAAUCGUUCGUUAGGAGUGUUUUUGUGUGCUUUGACAAGGAGCUACAGAAGGUAGCGAGCUGCAAACAGAUCUGCAGUCUGCCUGAACUACUGGCGUUUGUUCUCAACACUCUAAAAAGAAAAAGAAAAAGGAAUGUCUUGGCACAUGGGUAUAAUUUUCAGACGCUGGCUCAGGAGGAUCGGGAUGCAGAUUUCCUCAAAUUCCAAGGCGAUGUAACACAGAGUGCUGCCUACAUCCACGGCAGUGACCUGUGGAAAAAAGUCAUAACGCGUCUGGGCACAGACAUCACGCAGUAUCUCCUGGAGAGCUGCUCUGUGUUUGUGGCAGUUCCUCCUUCGUGUGCUUUCCAGGUGUGCGGCCCUCCAGUCUAUGACAGGGUGUCCAUGACCACGGCCUCUUGUGGGUUUUUUCUCCAGCCGCGAGUCAGGAAACCUAAUCGUACCAAGACUGAGAGCUGUCGAGGGUCAGUGAGUUUGAAACAGAAACGCACAGUUGUGACUCCUGCAAGCAAGAAGAUGAAAAGAAGGAAUAAAGGAGGGACAAAGGGGAAAAGAAAACGGGAAACUGGAGAAGAGGAGGAGGUGGCAGUUUGUUCAAGAAAGAGGAGGCGAGUAGCAUCUGUAGAACAUCAACAGGCGAUCCAACAAGUUGGCUCUGAAAAGGAAGGACAGGCCGUGGCUGUGGAAUCAGCACCACCUACAGCUUUCAAACAGCCUGUUGAAAUGCCAACAUUUGUACUUCCCUUGGAGGGUGGUCCUAGUUGGAGAACAGGGAUUUUCCCCCCUUUACCACCCUCGCAAUGUUUUAUCCGUACCCUGGGAUUCCUGUAUGGGGGCAGGGGCAUGCGUGGCUUUCUUCUUAACAGGAGGAAAAAGACUGCUCAUGGAUCCAGAAGGCUUCAAGGACAAGAUCUGGUAAGAAUAGUCUUCUUCGAGGGACUAGCGCAUUUGAAUGGAGUAGAGAGGAAGCCUAAAAAACUCCCCCAGCGGUUCUUUGGCUUGGUCCCCCUGUUUAGGCAGCUCUUACAACAACACAGGAGAUGUCCCUACACCAGAAUACUACAGAGGUUAUGUCCAUCAAUGGAGGAGAGCAAUGCAGGACAGGGAGAACUAAACUCACUCUUACCUCAGCACUGUGCACCGCACAGGGUUUACCUGUUUGUCCGGGAAUGCCUCUCUUCUGUGAUCCCACAAGAACUGUGGGGCUCUGAUCAAAACCGGCUGCAUUUCUUUGCCAGGGUCAGGACUUUCUUGCAAAGUGGCAAGUUUGAGAGGCUCUCACUGGCUGAACUGAUGUGGAAGAUAAAGGUGAAUGACUGUGAUUGGUUGAAGAGGAGUAAAACAGGCCGUUUUCCACCCAGCGAGCUUGCGUAUCGGACACAGGUCCUGGGUCAGUUCUUGGCUUGGCUUCUGGAUGGAUAUGUUACAGGCCUUGUGAGAGCCUGUUUCUAUGCAACAGAGAGUAUUGGGCAGAAGAACGCCAUCAGGUUCUACAGGCAGGAAGUCUGGACCAAACUGCAAGAAUUGGCCUUCAGAGGUCACCUUUCCAAAGGCCAGAUGGAGGAGCUGACUCCAGCUCAGGUGGCAUCCCUGCCCAAAGGCACCGUCAUCUCCCGCCUUCGCUUCAUUCCCAAGACUGAUGGCAUGAGGCCCAUCACACGAGUCAUAGGAGCAGAUGCCAAAACAAGGCUCUACCGAGGUCGUGUCAGGGACUUGCUGGAUAUGCUGCGGGCCUGUGUGCGUGCCACUCCAUCACUACUGGGAUCCACAGUGUGGGGGAUGACUGACAUCCACAAAGUUUUGUGCUCUUUGGCACCAGCGCAGAAAGAAAAACCACAACCCCUCUAUUUUGUUAAGAUGGACGUGAGUGGAGCCUAUGAGAGUUUGCCGCAUGACAAACUCAUAGAGGUGAUUGGCCAAGCCCUGUCACCUGUCCACGAUGAACUCUUUACCAUCCGCCGCUAUGCCAAGAUCUGGGCAGACUCACACGAAGGCCUGAAAAAGGCCUUUGUCAGACAGGCAGAUUUCCUGGAGGAUAACAUAGGAUCCACCAACAUGAAGGGCUUUUCGACGUCAUUGCAGAGAAAAGGCAAAGUUCAUCACGCCAUCCUGGUUGAACAGCACUUUUGCUCAGAUCUUCAUGGCAGAGAGGCAUUGCAGUUCUUUACCCAAAUGCUAACUGGGAGUGUUGUUCAGUAUGGGAAAAAGACGUACCGUCAGUUCCGGGGGAUUCCUCAGGGAUCGGUUGUAUCUAGUUUGCUCUGCUGCCUUUGCUACGGCCACAUGGAGAAUCUCCUGUUUAAAGAUAUUCCAGGACACAAAGGGUGUUUGAUGAGACUGGUGGAUGACUUCCUUCUAAUUACACCAGACCAACAUGAAGCACAAGCUUUUCUCAAGAUCUUGCUGGCCGGUGUGCCACAGUAUGGUCUGGCAGUCAACCCGCAGAAGGUGGUUUUGAACUUUCAGGUAUCGGGAAGCGCGGCUUCCUGUCCCGACAUUCGCAUGCUGCCCCCUCGCUGCCUCUUCCCCUGGUGUGGACUGCUGCUGGACACCCACACGCUGGACGUCUAUAAAGACUAUUCCAGCUAUGCUGGACUGUCUCUGCGCUACAGCCUUACUCUGGGUUCAUCCCACUCUGCAGGACAGCAGAUGAAAAGGAAACUAAUGGCUAUCCUCAGGCUCAAGUGUCAUGCCCUGUUCUUUGACUUGAAGACUAAUUCUCUUGAAGCGGUCUACAAGAACAUGUACAAGAUGGUGCUGCUGCAUGCGUACAGAUUUCACGUCUGUGCCCAAAGUUUGCCCUUUGGUCAGACCGUUUCCAAGAACCCCGUCUUCUUUCUGCAGCUGAUAUGGGAGAUGGCCCAGUACUGCAACAAGCUCAUCAGACGCAGCAACAAAGGACUGAUUUUAGGUGAUAAGGCCCAGACGGGGAUUGUGCAGUACGAAGCAGUGGAGCUGCUUUUCUGUCUGUGCUUCUUGCUGGUGCUGUCACAACACCGUCUUCUCUAUAAAGAUCUGCUCGCACACCUGCACAAACGAAAGCGCAGUCUGGAGCGGCGUCUGGGGGACCUGAGGCUGGCCAGGGUGCGGCAGGCCGCUAACCCCAGGACUCCAGUCGACUUCUUGGCCAUUCAGACGUAAAUUACUAUUCCUAGUCCCAGUUUCCAACAUGACCGCAGAACAAUACUCGGAGAUUAAAGCAGCAUUUUUACUCUCCACAGUCCUUAAGCCCUUUGAGUCUUCUGUUCCUGUGUGUCAGUCACGAAGGCGUCGUUGUCGUAGGGAUUCAACUCCAUCCCAACCGAGGACUUUCUGAAUCUGCCACGAAGCAGCUGGUAGAGGGCCACCAGAGGAAUGGAAAUCACAGGCACCACGCAGAGGAGGAUGAUUAUGGCAAAGACCCAGUCUGGAUAAAGCUUCUCUUCAGUUUCAGGGAAUUUUUCCUGAAAAGAAAGAUCGAGGUGGAAACAAUGAAGGACAUUUAUUUAUUUAAUUAUUAAAUAUGGUUUAAAAUUGGUAAAAUGCGCUAAUUUUCUUUCUUCGGGUUAAAUAGAGCGCAACAACCAGCAAGCAGGCAAUUGGCUUAGCUUGACUAAUUCAAUUCAUUUUUUAUAUUGAUUUACUUUAUUUAUUUAAAUUCUAUUUUUUAUUGCUGUGUCCAGCACUUUGGUCAGUGGUUGCUGUUUUAGUGCUUUAGGGCUAACUUAAGGUUAUCGAAACCAACCAAGAGAUAUUUCAGGCUCAUAAAAUCCCAUAAAGGACUGAGCUGUCAUUUUAUCCCGCCGGUCUAUAUUUAUUACUCGACAUAUUUGUUAAAAUGUAGGUUUUGAUAGACAUUUUUAAACUCUUGCUUGUUUGUUAACAGACAUUACAGAUAGUCGCUUCUCAGGUAAAAGUCUGGCUGCUGGAUUCAUUUCAGAAGUCAGUUUGAUUUUUAGUAGCAUCUUCCUUCAGGAUAACUCGCUAUGACUCACAGCUCAGAUCAUUUCAAAGUGGUUUAUUGAUCAUAACAAUGAGUUCACUGUACUCAAAUUAUCUCCACAAUUAAAAGAUCUCAAUCCAGUAAUGUACCUUUGGGAUGUGAUGGAACAGAAAAUUGGAGCAGUUCUGAAGAUAAAUAGAGGACCGAACAAACUGCACCUAAUAAAAUCUUGACUUAUGAGUAGAUUCAUUCUUCAAUUCUUGGCUUUCCUGCUUACAUAAUCUGGGUUCCAUGCUUGAUAGGUGGGACGUGUCUGUGCCUGGACAACCACAUAGGCAACAAACACCACCAGGAGCAG
RNA transcript from Haplochromis burtoni (Burton's mouthbrooder), 4662 nucleotides. It is a transcript of the gene named telomerase reverse transcriptase, with no coding region annotated. The record is from RefSeq and is a predicted model, not a curated record. NCBI's taxonomy places the organism in Eukaryota, Metazoa, Chordata, Actinopteri, Cichliformes, Cichlidae. The transcript has 17 exons.